Molecule: ribosomal RNA, 305 nt
Filed under: uncultured bacterium
Lineage: Bacteria
Description: bacterial SSU rRNA
Rfam family: Bacterial small subunit ribosomal RNA
Source: RNAcentral
ACCUACGGGAGGCAGCAGUGGGGGAUAUUGCACAAUGGGGGCAACCCUGAUGCAGCGACGCCGCGUGAGCGAUGGAGUACUUCGGUAUGUAAAGCUCUGUCAGCAGGGAAGGGAGUGACGGUACCUGACCAAGAAGCCCCGGCUAAAUACGUGCCAGCAGCCGCGGUAAUACGUAGGGGGCUAGCGUUAUCCGGAAUUACUGGGCGUAAAGGGUGCGUAGGUGGUUUCUUAAGUCAGAGGUGAAAGGCUACGGCUCAACCGUAGUAAGCCUUUGAAACUGGGGAACUUGAGUGCAGGAGAGGAGA